UUAAGUACAAGGAAAACAGCCAAACUUCAUACAAAAGUUUGGACAUAGAACUCUGCAGGAAGGAGAAGAUUUAAUCUUGCAUUGCACUAUACAUGGAAAGCCCAAACCACAUGUCUGCUGGACAAAGGAUGACAUCCAAGUGGUAUCUGGAGAUAUCAGUACUGAGAAAUUAGGAGAUACCUAUUACCUUUUAAAAAGAAAUGUAGUCCUUGCUGAUACUGGGAAAUACAUCUGUGUUGCCAGCAAUGAAAUUGGAAAGGCUCACUGUUCUGCUUUUGUGACGGUGAUAGAGAAAAAUAAACCCCCGCACACUUCCAGUGUAAUGCAGGCUAAACCAGAAUGUGAA
Lonchura striata (white-rumped munia) is the source of this 346-nucleotide non-coding RNA. NCBI's taxonomy places the organism in Eukaryota, Metazoa, Chordata, Aves, Passeriformes, Estrildidae. The record is from RefSeq and is a predicted model, not a curated record.